RNAcentral lists this ribosomal RNA (440 nucleotides) under uncultured bacterium. Its description in RNAcentral is "bacterial SSU rRNA". It matches the Rfam family "Bacterial small subunit ribosomal RNA", at positions 338 to 795 of the family's 1533-position model. The record is from RNAcentral.
CCUACGGGAGGCAGCAGUGGGGAAUAUUGGACAAUGGGCGCAAGCCUGAUCCAGCCAUGCCGCGUGAGUGAUGAAGGCCUUAGGGUUGUAAAGCUCUUUUAGCGGGGAAGAUAAUGACGGUACCCGCAGAAAAAGCCCCGGCUAACUUCGUGCCAGCAGCCGCGGUAAUACGAAGGGGGCUAGCGUUGCUCGGAAUCACUGGGCGUAAAGCGCACGUAGGCGGCUUCUUAAGUCAGGGGUGAAAUCCUGGAGCUCAACUCCAGAACUGCCUUUGAUACUGGGGAGCUUGAGUCCGGGAGAGGUGAGUGGAACUGCGAGUGUAGAGGUGAAAUUCGUAGAUAUUCGCAAGAACACCAGUGGCGAAGGCGGCUCACUGGCCCGGUACUGACGCUGAGGUGCGAAAGCGUGGGGAGCAAACAGGAUUAGAUACCCCAGUAGUC